AGUCACUGAUGAUUUUUUUUGGUUAUAAGAGUAGUGGACAGAAGACAUUUCUGAGAAAUUUUACCUGAGACU
This is a small nucleolar RNA of Toxotes jaculatrix (banded archerfish), 72 nucleotides long. RefSeq annotates it as small nucleolar RNA SNORD75. The transcript has a single exon. NCBI's taxonomy places the organism in Eukaryota, Metazoa, Chordata, Actinopteri, Toxotidae. The record is from RefSeq and is a predicted model, not a curated record.